This is a non-coding RNA of Caenorhabditis elegans, 21 nucleotides long. The record is from Ensembl. Lineage: Eukaryota; Metazoa; Nematoda; Chromadorea; Rhabditida; Rhabditidae.
UCGGUCUCUACUCACUCCCAC